Molecule: non-coding RNA, 2338 nt
Organism: Lolium perenne
Lineage: Eukaryota; Viridiplantae; Streptophyta; Magnoliopsida; Poales; Poaceae
Source: RefSeq, a predicted model, not a curated record
GCCCCUCCACUUUCCCCUCCUUUUCUUCACUCCCACGAAAGGAAACGAGAUGGAGAAACCCCUCUGGCACCGCCGUCCUCACCAUGGCACCGCCGCUCCACACCUCCCCUCGCCGUUCUGAGGGCACCGUUAGAUGCGCCACGAAGUCCUCAUUCUCCUCCUCCAAGGAAUCGAGCCGAGAGAGCUCCAAUCGACGCCAAAUUCGCUGAUUCUUCUUCAACUCCGGCGACCAAAUUCGACGAUUCCGAUCGGCCUAGUCCUUCCCCGGCGACCUCAACCUCACCAGCACGUUCCUGGUACCGGUCGUCGUCAUCACUCCGGUGGCUCCCGUCUUUCCCCACCACCAGAUCCUGGUCGCCCACGCCGAGGCGCACCCCCGACGCCUAUCGCCUUGACCCGGUUCGCCUCGAAUCGCCAUGCCCAUGGUCGACCAGAACCCUCCGCCCGCCAUGGCUGCUCUGUCCAAGGUCUCCGCUUCGCCUGGUUCAAAUGCUACUGUGGCCCAUCAUGGUCAACAUCCACGCAGCAGCUUAUUUGAUCCGUACAUGGGCCUUGGCCCAGGUUCUUCUCCCGGCGCUAGCCUACCAUCCGACACCCGCAGCAGGCCAGAUCCGGCCCAGAAAUAUCGCAUGCUCAGCCCACAAUUGCUUCUUCUCGGAUAGGAUCUCGAAGUGGUGAUGUGAGAUACGACAAGUUCUCCGGAUGUUCCUCGGCAAGCUUUAACAGGCAAGCAUUUUCCCCUAUACUUCUGCCCCUGCAGAAGUCGCUCACCUAUUUUAUUUUUCCUUCUCCCUCAUGCUAUCCUUAAGUUGCGUUCUUGUCACGUGUCCCCUCCACUUGUUACCUCAAGCAGCCCAUAUUGCCACCACCAACCACCAACCUCCUACAGCUGUUGUUUGGUUAUCGGGUCUGCCUUGCGAGUCGUAGUGCAUGCUAGUGCUGUUUAUAUCUCGUUACCGUUAUCGCUAUCUUAUCGGAUUAUCUGUUGGGGAAUCAUGACACAUGGUUUAUGGAUAUAUUUGUUGGAGAUUCACAUGCUUUACUUAUUGUUAACAACUAAAAUGAUAAGCAGAUGCAUCUGUGAGCCCCUUUGCGAAAGCAUCGGAACUUUGACUCACUAAUGUCCCCUAGGACCCGAGUUCUUGUUAUCUGUUCCGAGACUGAGUGCUCUAAACACACGUGGGUAUGUUUUUGGGUCUCCCCUCGACCACUGCCGGAAUCUACAGCUUUGUCCAGUGGCCACAACUAGUUUGCAAUGUUUUACCAUUUGUUGUUGCGUGCAUGCCAGCUUGUUACUUAUUUAUUUUGGGAAGCCCAUGGGUGCCUUGUAUCCCUUGUUUCUGGUAUGCACGUAUAGGUGUGGCACGAGCGUUUAUCGCGUGGUGAAGCGGGUCAUUCGCCCCAGUGUGUGUUUUGACCCUCGGAAGUCGUGGUCGCAAACAGCUAGGUCCGUCUCGGAGAUUCGGUCGGACUUCGAUUCGGGUUCAACUUAGUUAGGUGGCUUCCUGGACAUUGUUGUCGUGAAGGAGAGUGCGAGUCGUGAUAUCCUUCCCUUGCUAGGUUGGGUUGAUCGUGCGUGUGGGUACAUUUGGGCAACCCCUGCAGGGUGUACAUCUUAUCGAUAAGCCGCAUCCGCGGUUAUGGACGACUUGGAGCUGUCUGAUUCGACCAUAGACAACUUACACCUGUUGUUUCAAUACUAAUAACUUGCAUAGUAAGAUAGAACAACUUAAAUAAUAACUGGUUAAAACUUGUCAACCGUGUGAGUGCCCUUGUAAGUACUUCCUUGCGAGGGGGGAACACAUCGGCUGUGUUAUGUUUGCAGAGUAUGGAACUGAUAGUUACGCGCUCUCUUAUCUUCUCUGAUUAGAUGACUGUUCUAGAGUGUCUCUAUAGGUUUUUAGUGCUUGCGCGCUGCCGCUUAACCCCACCAUAUUGCCUAUGACGUUCCUCUUGCGUCCUCUAAGUCCCCUGCAUGCCUCAAGUACAAAGGACGACUGGUUGACGAAUGCUUAUACGUCUUGAAGUCUUGUUAAGUAUGAACCCGUACUUAUUGCUGCUUCUACGGGAUAUAACCGGGCAGGUAUGAAGAUAUGUUCGAUGAAGACGACGCUAGCAAGGUUACCCUUCCGGCUUGGCCUAGGCAGGGUUAUGGACGCCGCUGGUUAUCUUCAGGACUCUUAGUCCAAUUUGUAUCUUGUCCGUACUCGGACGCAUUCGAUCUUCUGUAUGAUUUGGAUCUUUGUAUUGUAUAUUUCUAUCUUGACUCGUUGGAGUCGUUGUUGUAAUAUAUGUAUCUUGUGGGCUCUAUUGUAAUCCUGUUGUAAUGAUUAUUACU